UACGGGGGGGGGCAAGCGUUAUCCGGAAUCACUGGGCGUAAAGGGCGCGUAGGCGGCUGUACAAGUCAAAGGUGAAAUCCCUCGGCUCAACUGAGGAACUGCCUUUGAAACUGUACGGCUUGAGGCCGGGAGGGGGUAGCGGAAUUCCCAGUGUAGCGGUGAAAUGCGUAGAUACUGGGAGGAACACCAGUGGCGAAGGCGCUACCUGGACCGGUUCUGACGCUGAGGCGCGAAAGCGUGGGUAGCAAACAGG
RNAcentral lists this ribosomal RNA (253 nucleotides) under uncultured bacterium. RNAcentral's name for it is "partial 16S ribosomal RNA". It matches the Rfam family "Bacterial small subunit ribosomal RNA", at positions 524 to 776 of the family's 1533-position model. The record is from RNAcentral.